Carassius auratus (goldfish) is the source of this 328-nucleotide long non-coding RNA. RefSeq lists it as uncharacterized. The transcript has 3 exons. The record is from RefSeq and is a predicted model, not a curated record. NCBI's taxonomy places the organism in Eukaryota, Metazoa, Chordata, Actinopteri, Cypriniformes, Cyprinidae.
GAAACCUUCACCUUUCUGCUGCUGUGUAUGUCAGUGGUGCUUCAUUUUUCACAAUUGAAAAGAUAUUUGCAGCUAAGAAGUUACAUCUUUUCAAGUAAGACACCUUUCGUCGUCAUGCACUGCUAUUGUUUACAAGUGGAGAAACUGGCAGGAUGAGAUGCUACAGCUGUUGGCUCAAAGGGAAAAGGUCAUUGUUGGAGGAGAUAUGAGGGCUGACUCACCAGGGCACUCUGCCAAAUAUGGCAGUUACACAAUGAUGGACCUGGAGACAAACACCGUUGUUGAUGUACAACUCGUCCAGGUAAAUGAGCAGAAAACUUUGAUGCAA